AAAACAUAGCUUUCUGCGUUAAUAUAGAAAGUAAGUUCUGCCCGGUGAUAUUUAAUUUAACGGCCGCGGUAUUUUGACCGUGCAAAGGUAGCAUAAUCAUUUGCCUUCUAAUUAGAGGCUGGAAUGAAUGGAUAUACGAGAUUAAUACUGUCUCUUUUUUAUUUAUAUAAAUUAUUUUUUAGGUGAAGAAACCUAAAUGUUAAUGAAAGACAAAAAGACCCUAUUGAUCUUAAUUUUUAUGUGGAUUUUUUUAGAAUUAUUUACUAUUUUACCUAAUAAAAUUUGGUUGGGGCGACAAAGGAAUAUAUAAAUCUUCCUUUAAUUUUUAGAAUAAUUAUUCUUUUAUUUGAUCUAUAUAAGUGAUAAAAAGAAAUAGUUACCAUAGGGAUAACAGGCUGAUUUUUUCAGAGAGUACAAAUUGAUGAAAGAGUUUGGCACCUCGAUGUUGGCUUAGAGUAUCCUUCAGAUGCAGCAGUCUGUAAGGGUUGGUUUGUUCAACCAUUAAAACUCUACGUGAU
RNAcentral lists this ribosomal RNA (518 nucleotides) under Pterocirrus giribeti. RNAcentral's name for it is "partial 16S ribosomal RNA". It matches the Rfam family "Bacterial large subunit ribosomal RNA", at positions 1810 to 2604 of the family's 2925-position model. Lineage: Eukaryota; Metazoa; Annelida; Polychaeta; Phyllodocida; Phyllodocidae. The record is from RNAcentral.